UCUGCAACCUACACCACAGCUCACGGCAACACCGGAUCGUUAACCCACUGAGCAAGGGCAGGGACCGAACCCGCAACCUCAUGGUUCCUAGUCGGAUUCGUUAACCACUGCGCCACGACGGGAACUCCCACAUGUUAUGGGAGUUAGGUUGCUAGAAAAAGGAGUCUUAGUUCCUUUUAAAGAUAGUUUUAGAAUCAGUAUAUAGACUGCUAAACUAUUUGCCAAGGAAAGCACUUUUCUAUCUACAGUUGAAUUUUUUAGCAUAGAUAGCAGGCCAGGACUGCAUACUUCAAAGAUAGCUAAGUUUCAUGAAGAGUAGACAGUAGCAGUGUGUGGGUUCUAUCAGCUCUGUCUCAGUCUUGUGGAAUUCCAGAGACAAAAUAUAUUUUGCUUGUUCACUUCUCAAGUCUUUUCUGCUUCUCUUUAGUAGGCAAUUUAACAUCCCAACUCUGAAGCUUCAUCCUAGAUUUCUAGACAUUUCAAUGUCUAAGCUGUGAGGAAGAAUUUCGUCUGUUUCAAAUCUUCUUUCACAGGGCAGGUCUAGUUUUUGGGAAAGUCUGAAGCUUAAGAGAAAAAAAUAUAAAAUUUUUAAUAUGAAAUUAGAUGUAAAAGUAAACAAUUUAUUAAGGACAAUGAAACAAAAUCACAAAAAAUUACUGGAGGCUUGGGAAUCCAGAAUUUUUUUUUUUUUUUGAAAUCUCUUUGCCAGUUUAUCAGAAGUGCUUAUCUAGAAAUCCUUCCUGCUAUGACCCUGCUCUCCCUUUCCUGCCAGAACAUUCUGUGGCUCCCAGCACUCAGAAUGGCAGGCCCUGAUGUAUAAGCUUUAUUAAGCUUCAUCUGUCUCUCUCUGCCUUCUUCAGAGCCUGUCCUUCCAGGCCCCAUUAGUUAUCCAAGAGCAUUUACCUCUUCCAAAGGGAUGAAAACAUACCUCAGGAGGUGGUUCUCCUCAGUUAGAAUUCUGGGAUUCCUCUUGAACAGAGAGACUUAAUCUGACAGAACAGAGGUGCUGUUAGAAUUGUGUCCUUUCUCCAUUCCUAUGCUGAAAUCCUAACCUCCAGCACCUCUGAAUGAGAAGUAGGGCCUGUAUUUGGCAAUUGGGCCCUUUAAAGAGGUAAGUAAUGUAAAAUGAGGUCAUAUGGGUGGGUCCUAACUCAAUACGGCCGUUAUCCUUAUAAGGGGCAGAGAUUAGGACCCAAGCAGACACAUAAGGAAGACACAGGGAGAAGAUGACCAGCUACUAACCAAGGACAGAGGCCUCAGAAGGAACCAACGCUGCCAACACCUUGAUCUUAGACUAUCAGCUUCCAGAACUAUGAGAAAAUGAAUUUCCAAAGAGGAUAUGCCUAACCCAUCCAGGAGUCACGUGUGGGGAAGUGGAGGAUGAUCAGGUCUAGUAAUAGCCUGUUUGGGGCCAGAAGACUGGGCCUCCCCACUCCCUUUGAGAGGUGACUGCUAACACACAGGCCUAAAUUGUUGAUCUUAGCUCUCCCAGCAAUGUUUAUUUGAACAGUUCAGCAUGUCACUGAGUAGCAGGUGAUUAAGCGUGAAUUUGCAGAGAAGAGAUCAGUAGGUGGCACAGUUAGGAAACAGCCACCACCUGGAGUCAGUGGUUACCCCUACCAGGAAUGAGAUCUGAAAAGGCAGCAGGAGGGAUGGUUACAAUGCACUUGCAACAGAUUGGAAUGCAAGUCAAUCAAGUGUAAGAUAGAGGAGAAGGCGCUGCCACUGGGAGCUGCUCACAGGGAACCAACCCACUUCUCAGAGAGGACUCCUUAGGACACAGUGGCAUUCUGUAGGCUACUGACACUCAGGAUAACCCAUUCUUCCCUUAGGCUUGCAAUCCCGGAGGCAGUCCGUUUAACAUGCCAUCCUACUGGAAAGUAGUGGCCCCUCCUUCUGUCUCUAUCUCACUGUAUCCGUUUGCUAGGGAUGCUGUGCUUUCUCAUCUUUCUAUAUAGUGCAGCUGAAUAGACAGAUACCAAGAAAAUAUUCACUGAUUGCAUGCAGAGAUUUCUGAAUGAAAUAGGAGAUUUCUGAGACACUGGAAGGAAGCUUCGCUUAGUAGAGAAGGCAUGUUGGACGUAUUGUCGCUGGACAGUCUUGGAUUGUGCUCCACCAUUUAUGCCAGUAAGUGGGAAGGGCCACUUCUUUUAAACAUUAGUUUUCUCCUUUGCUGAAUGAGGCUAAAAGCAGCCUCUACUAGGACUUAUUUAAUUGAUCAUGAUGACAGAGAGAUAGAGCACAAAGUUACCAUGAGAAGUAUCUUGCCUGCCUGUUCCAGACCAUUACUCUGGUCAUGCAUCAGAUUUGUCUGAGGAGAGUUUAAAUUUAGAAGUAUCCAGGUCCAGUUCCAAGGUCUGACUCGUAAGCCUAGGGUGAACCCUGUUAAUCUGCAUUUUUAUAAAUUCCCUUCAGUGAUGCGACUUUGCAAGCAAAUUAGGGAACCUGGACUAUCCUCAUUGACUUCAGAAUCAUUCAUAAAUAAUGGGCAUUAGAGAUCUCUGGUAGAGACUUAGAGUUUACACCCUUUCUCAUUACCAUAAAACUCUGUUAAUCACAAAUUGACUCAUGAGCUUUUAUGUCUUAUACACAUGCUUGAGAGCUGCUAUAUGAAAUGCUUCAAGUUUUAGUAUAAUUAUAUUUGAUCACUUUUCCACACUUUCACCUCUAUCAAACAAAAUAAAAUGGGUUGCUCAUUAGAAAUAAAAACAUAUAGUUAUGUUUUAAAAAUAAGAAAAAAAAUCCAUAAGCUUAUCACUAAUUUCAGUCUUAAUUGUAGCAAUUGUGUGACUAUUUACAUUUCAGUAAUUCUGUUGGCUAAAAUGUGAACCUCUUAUUUACUUUUUUUAGUCUGUAUUUCUUGUCUGGUAGACACAACUGUUUGUAUAACUUGCUGAUUCCUUAACUUAAACAAAAUUCCUUGCCUGAUUUCCAUCCCUCUUGUCCUGAUACUUCCCUUUAAAACAAAAGAACAGUGGUCUUCUAAGGAAUGAUGAUUUUUUUGCCAGUUGUAUCCCUUUUGGUGGAUUUCCCCCAAGCUCUAGCAGUUAUCCCUUCAUAAAUUUGAGGGCAGCGCCCCUUUUCCUCUUGCUCCACUGUCACCCAUUCAUGCCUCUGCCAUCUAUUUGCAUUACCUAUAUGUUAUGGAUCGAACUGUGUUCUCCCCAAAUUCAUAUGUGGAAGCCCUAGCCCCACCCUUGACUCUAUUUGGAGAGGAAUCCUUUAAAAGGGUAAUUGAGAUUAGAUGAAGUCAUAAAGAUGGCGCCCUGAUCUGAAAGGACUGGUUUCCUUGUAAAAAGAGGAAGAAACCCCAGGCCAUGUACGAUCUCUCUUUCUCUUUCUCCCCUCAUCUGCACAGAGGAAAGACCAUGUGAGGACAGAGAGACAAGGUAACCAUUUCUAAGUGUGGGAGAGAGGCCUCACCAGAAGCCAACCCUGCUGGAACCUUGAUCUUAGACUUCCAGCCUCCAGAACAGUGAGAAAAUACACUUCUGUUGCUUUAGUCACCCAGCUUGUGGUAUUUUGUUAUGGCCACUCAGCCUGAUUAAUAUGCUCUUUGUCACUGUGUGCUUAGAGGAACUGGCUUCCCUCUUUCCAGAUCAUCCUACGCAAGUAGCACAAUCAGCACAGCUAUUACAGAAGCUUUCUAUUGCUGCAUGCCAGUUUACCACAACCUUAGUGAUUUAAAACAACGCCCAUUUAUUAUCUCACAGUUUUUAUAAUUUCAGUAGUGUGGGCACAGGGUAACUAGGUUCCCUGCUCAAAGCCUUGCAAGCUGCAGUUAAGGUGCAGUUGGAAUAGUAGUCUCAUCUGAAAUUAAGAGGGCUCUUCUAAGCAUAUGAUUUUUGGCAGAAUUCAUUUUCAUGCAGCUGUAGAAUUCACAGUGGCUCUUUUAAACUCAGUAGAGAAUCUCUGAAAUUUACAGUCUUUUUUAAAGAGCUAAUCCGAUUAGGCCCAUCUAUUACAAUCCUGUCUUGAUAGAGUCAGAGUCAACUGGUUAAGAUUCUUAAUUAUCUGUAAAAAUUCCCUUUGUCCAUCAUAUGCAAAGGUCUUGUCCAAAAUCAAGGUGAGGGAAUUGCACAUGGUGCCUAUAUACUAGGGGGUGAGAAUCUUGAGGGCUGUCUUAGAUUUCUCCCUACCCUAUGUCUGAUUCCUUGAUUCCGAUUCAGUACUAAAGGUUAUGCACAAUUGCUUUGAUAUGUAGUUUCUGUUGUAAUCAAGCAUAAAAUGAUAUACAAAUGAAAAGAUGGCAAUGUACAUAAUAAGCAUUAGUGCUGUCGGAGUGGUGCAGGCACAAAACAGGUAAUGUUACAAUAAUAUAAUCAUUAUUUAUUGAUCAAGUAAAUAGUCACUUCUCAUUCUGCCAAUGAAUAUGCUCUUAUCUCUAUAUGCUUAGUCAAUAUUUAAAAUAAUCACACAAUGAUGAGGUAUUUUCAGCAUUAUUAUGAUUUUGAUCAGUUAAUAAACCCUGCCUAUUAAAUAUUAUAGAAAUUUUGGUUUUGUUUUCUUCUGAUGGGUUGGACAGAAUUAAUGGUAGCCCUGUAUAUGGAGUAAAUGGAGCAGGAAGGCUUAGGGUCAAGUGGCCUUCUCAAGGAUGCUAGUUCAAGGUGGCCAGAGGAAUCAUAUAAAGAGAGCACUGUUGAGGGAAACCAAGGUUGAAGCUAGGAAAGUGGUGGUAAGGGACAGAUUCAGCAGGUAAGAUAAGGAUGAAAAUGGGCAGCAAAGUUAGUAGACAGAUGUUAGAAGGCAGUAUGAAGUCAGCUGCAAGGAAGAGAUCUGAGAGAGCGAUUUAGAACUAAAACAGUGAACAGAAUGGGAGGGCAGGCUCUCCUGUUUUACACUGUUCCUGGUGUAGGCAUCAGGGGAAGUGUGGGAUUGGCAACCUAAGGAAUUGCACAGUAUCUUAUGCCCUAGGUGGAGCCUUUCUGUGGAUUUAUAGGAUACCUCUAUUCUGUGUACUUAUAGUGCACAACUUAAUGGGCCAUAAACAGAUAAUCUGUGGUAAAUUCUGUUUAAUUUAGAAACUAAAAUAUUUUCCCAUGGAUUCAGUGUUACACGAAGCUUGAUUAGAUUUUCAAGGCAAUCCAAGAACACUAUUUAAUGUCUAUUUUACUAAGAAUGUUAUAGAAAUGUUUAAAUGGUUUUUUUGGAAAUCAAAAUAUGUUAUCUUUUCAGAUUGCUUUAUAAGAAAUAGUUCUAAUGUAUGUAUUAUCAGUUUCUUAAGUCAUGAGUAACUAAAAUACUUCUGUAACUUACCGCAAUUUGCUUGAAAUUAUAAUUUUUUGAUUUCUUCAUCUUGUGUGAAUAAGUGCAUUAAUUUCCAUUUAAACUUUGAUUUGAUAUUAAAAUUAGAACAACUUGUUCAAAUCCUGUAGUUUUUAUAUUGAAUAAAUAUUGCUAAAUUUUCAUUGAACAAGUUGGCUUAAAUUUAGUUUUGGAAAGUCAUCAAAAUAUUUUCCUUCCUCAUUUAUUACUUCAGAUCCAAAUUCAUUUUCAUUUUCUUCCUUGGUAAAGUUACUUUAUUAGGCAUCUCCUUGCUCAGCUUAUAUACACUAAAUUUGUUUGUAGUAGCAACUCAUUUUAUAUAUUACACAUUCUAUGCUUUUAUGUUCGGGAGCAUAAUAUAUAUGUAUUGUAUACAUUUGGUCCCAUAUUAAAUUACUAUGAGACUUCUUUCACUUUUAUGGCUAUGAAGAACCUUUUGAGGUUACCCUAUAGUAAUAGCCCAUUCAAUCUACUAAAAAAAUGAGAACUAUUCAGAAAAAGUGAAUAAUAUGUCCAAUAUAGCACAAGUUAAAACUGAGAUAUAACCAGAAUUCUGAUGUCUUAACUCCCUAUUCAGUGACUCUUUUUGAUAUACCAUGCCACCUUGCCUGUAGCAUUUGUUUUCAUUUUAGAUUCUGGGCUGGACUACUUUCCAAAUAAGUAUCUUAUGUAUAAUUUUAUGCAAUUUCACAAUUUAAAAAAGUCAACCAAAUAAUGCAAAGGGGUUAGCAGAAUCUUUAGAUUGAAAGAGGCAUAUGAUCCUGUACUCCCUUCUCAAACUUUAAUCACGUUGCUUUGUAGUAAUGUUAAGAAGGAUUAAAUAUUGAGCCUAAGGGCACUGAGACGUGAGUAGCAUAGAACUUAGUUCUAUAGCCUCCCCCUCUGCACAAAUGGAAAAGAUUCAUGACCACAUUGUUUAGCUGUUUAAACUCCUAGAAAAAAAAAAAGAAGAAGUAUGAUAAUAAGAUUUAGCCAUGUUAACUUAUAAAACGUGAUACUUAUGAAGUUUAAGGAACAAGAAAGUACAGAGUUGUAGAUCUAGGUGCUUCUACAUUUCAGAAAUCACUCAGAGUUUAAUCAUUCAUGAAACAAGAGUUUACUGAGUUUCUUUGGUUAGACAGGUGUUCCCCACCCUCCAGACACUUAUUAUUUGAGGUGAAAAGGAAAAAUGACAGAGAGAAGGU
RNAcentral lists this long non-coding RNA (6449 nucleotides) under Sus scrofa (pig). RNAcentral describes it as "lncRNA (ENSSSCG00040016000.1)". The record is from RNAcentral. Lineage: Eukaryota; Metazoa; Chordata; Mammalia; Artiodactyla; Suidae.